GGCACCUUCGGUGUCCGAGUUGUAAUUUGAAGAAGGUAACUUUGGAGUUGGCUCUUGUCUAUGUUCCUUGGAACAGGACGUCACAGAGGGUGAGAAUCCCGUGCGAUGAGAUGUCCAACUCUAUGUAAAGUGCUUUCGAAGAGUCGAGUUGUUUGGGAAUGCAGCUCUAAGUGGGUGGUAAAUUCCAUCUAAAGCUAAAUAUUGGCGAGAGACCGAUAGCGAACAAGUACAGUGAUGGAAAGAUGAAAAGAACUUUGAAAAGAGAGUGAAAAAGUACGUGAAAUUGUUGAAAGGGAAGGGUUUGAGAUCAGACUUGGUAUUUUGUAUGUCUUGCUUUCGGGUGGGGCCUCUGCAGUUUACUGGGCCAGCAUCGGUUUGGACGGUAGGAUAAUGACAUUGGAAUGUGGCACUACUUCGGUGGUGUGUUAUAGACUUUGUUGAUACUGCCUGUCUAGACCGAGGACUGCGUCUUUGACUAGGAUGCUGGCAUAAUGAUCCUAAACCG
This 505-nucleotide ribosomal RNA is filed under the name Scheffersomyces shehatae. RNAcentral describes it as "eukaryotic LSU rRNA". It matches the Rfam family "Eukaryotic large subunit ribosomal RNA", at positions 124 to 647 of the family's 3401-position model. Lineage: Eukaryota; Fungi; Ascomycota; Pichiomycetes; Serinales; Debaryomycetaceae. The record is from RNAcentral.